Molecule: transfer RNA, 64 nt
Filed under: Peripatoides sp. DVL-2010
Lineage: Eukaryota; Metazoa; Onychophora; Udeonychophora; Euonychophora; Peripatopsidae
Description: tRNA-Asp
Source: RNAcentral
UUGAAAUUAGUUAAUAUAAUAUAAAUUUGUCAAAUUUAAGUAAUAGAUUUUUCUAUAUUUUUUC